Molecule: ribosomal RNA, 543 nt
Filed under: uncultured fungus
Lineage: Eukaryota; Fungi
Description: eukaryotic LSU rRNA
Rfam family: 5.8S ribosomal RNA (bases 186-339)
Source: RNAcentral
UCCGUAGGUGAACCUGCGGAGGGAUCAUUACAAGUGACCCCGGUUUACCACCGGGAUGUUCAUAACCCUUUGUUGUCCGACUCUGUUGCCUCCGGGGCGACCCUGCCUUCGGGCGGGGGCUCCGGGUGGACACUUCAAACUCUUGCGUAACUUUGCAGUCUGAGUAAAUUUAAUUAAUAAAUUAAAACUUUCAACAACGGAUCUCUUGGUUCUGGCAUCGAUGAAGAACGCAGCGAAAUGCGAUAAGUAAUGUGAAUUGCAGAAUUCAGUGAAUCAUCGAAUCCUUGAACGCACAUUGCGCCCUUUGGUAUUCCGAAGGGCAUGCCUGUUCGAGCGUCAUUUCACCACUCAAGCCUAGCUUGGUAUUGGGCGCCGCGGUUUUCCGCGCGCCUCAAAGUUUCCGGCUGAGCUGUCCGUCUCUAAGCGUUGUGAUACAUAUUCGCUUCGGAGUGCGGGCGGCCGCGGCCGUUAAAUCUUUCACAAGGUUGACCUCGGAUCAGGUAGGGAUACCCGCUGAACUUAAGCAUAUCAAUAAGCGGAGGA